RNAcentral lists this long non-coding RNA (1061 nucleotides) under Cairina moschata (Muscovy duck). Its description in RNAcentral is "domestica (muscovy Duck (domestic type)) lncRNA (ENSCMMG00000013751.1)". Lineage: Eukaryota; Metazoa; Chordata; Aves; Anseriformes; Anatidae. The record is from RNAcentral.
AUGGCUGGAGAACACUGCAUGGAGUCUCCUGAAUCACCCUUCUUUGUUCCCUCUAAACCCUUUUACAUUCCUGAUGGCCUCAUCGUUAAGAGCCUAAUGUUAUCCUCAACCACCGGGCUUUCCGACCCCCAUGGCCACACUCCCACCUCUCCCCCUUCUUUAUUAAUAUCAACCCUCUUCCCAACACGAGCCCUGGAAAGCCGGGGCGCUGCGUCCCCUCCCUGCGCCCUGAUGGGCACCCGUGCCGUGCCCUCAGGGCUUGGCGGGCAGCACCCUGGGGGAUGCUCAUCCCCUGAUGUGCCGGGAGGGGCAGGCACGGCCAGGACUACGUUUCCCAGCGGCAAUUUCCAGGGGCUGCACAUGCUCCUUGCGGCUGCACGGCUGCUCCCAGCAGCUCCCGGUGCGGCUCCCGGUGCGGCUCCCGGUGCGGCUCCCGGUGCAGCCCCAUCGCGGGCGCACGGGGCUCCGUGGGGAGCGCACAUCCGACCCCCGGGGGCGAGCCCUGCCUGGCACCCACCCUCCUGCCCCCCACCCCAGCCACCCCAGCCACCCCGCAGCAUGCCCCGCGGGCGAGCCUGGACACCGGCGGAGGUCAGCAGCCUCCUGGCGCUGGUGGAAGGCUCCGGGGAGGCCGCCCUGCUGAUGGCCUCCACGUCGUGGCCCAACGAGGCGCUGUGGCAGGAGAUCUCCCGGGGGCUGGCGGCGGCCGGCUACGGCCGUAGCGUGGCCCAGUGCCGCUCCAAGUGGAAGGCACUGAAGCAGGCUUUCCACUCGGAGCGGGAGACGCGCCGCCGUGCCGGGCGGCACUCGUCACGCUUGCCCCCGCACUACCGCACCAUGAAGAGCAUCUGGAAGGCGGCCGGGCGGCCCGUUUUUGGGGAGAGGCGGCUGCCCGAGCUGGUCAAGCCGCCCCCCAGGAAGCGCAGGUCGCUGGCCGCACGCUCGCCGGCACCGCCAGCUGCUGCAGAGGCCCCCGCCGUGCUGCUGGCACCGCUGCUGCAGUGCCCAAAGGACAAGCCGGAGAGCUUUUCAAGUGGAUGUGGGAUUCUCCUUCACUUCCA